UCCCUGGAGGACUAGAGGUUAGGCCACAGCGCUCUCACGGCUGCAGCCGGGGGUUCGAGUCCCAGCCAGGGAA
Molecule: non-coding RNA, 73 nt
Organism: Pangasius djambal
Lineage: Eukaryota; Metazoa; Chordata; Actinopteri; Siluriformes; Pangasiidae
Source: the annotation of a GenBank genome assembly